GACGAACGCUGGCGGCGUGCCUAAUACAUGCAAGUUGAGCGAUGAAGAUUGGUGCUUGCACCAAUUUGAAGAGCAGCGAACGGGUGAGUAACGCGUGGGGAAUCUGCCUUUGAGCGGGGGACAACAUUUGGAAACGAAUGCUAAUACCGCAUAACAACUUUAAACAUAAGUUUUAAGUUUGAAAGAUGCAAUUGCAUCACUCAAAGAUGAUCCCGCGUUGUAUUAGCUAGUUGGUGAGGUAAAGGCUCACCAAGGCGAUGAUACAUAGCCGACCUGAGAGGGUGAUCGGCCACAUUGGGACUGAGACACGGCCCAAACUCCUACGGGAGGCAGCAGUAGGGAAUCUUCGGCAAUCGACGAAAGUCUGACCGAGCAACGCCGCGUGAGUGAAGAAGGUUUUCAGAUCGUAAAACUCUGUUGGUAGAGAAGAACGUUGGUGAGAGUGGAAAGCUCAUCAAGUGACGGUAACUACCCAGAAAGGGACGGCUAACUACGUG
RNAcentral lists this ribosomal RNA (497 nucleotides) under uncultured bacterium. RNAcentral describes it as "partial 16S ribosomal RNA". It matches the Rfam family "Bacterial small subunit ribosomal RNA", at positions 28 to 507 of the family's 1533-position model. The record is from RNAcentral.